Small nuclear RNA from Bos mutus (wild yak), 164 nucleotides. Its record names the gene U1. It matches the Rfam family "U1 spliceosomal RNA". Rfam says of the family: U1 is a small nuclear RNA (snRNA) component of the spliceosome (involved in pre-mRNA splicing). Its 5' end forms complementary base pairs with the 5' splice junction, thus defining the 5' donor site of an intron. The record is from Ensembl. Lineage: Eukaryota; Metazoa; Chordata; Mammalia; Artiodactyla; Bovidae.
AUACUUACCUGGCAGGGGAGAUACCAUGAUCACGAAGGUGGUUUUCCCAGGGCGAGGCUUAUCCAUUGCACUCCGGAUGUGUUGAUCCCUGCGAUUUCCCCAAAUGUGGGAAACUCGACUGCAUAAUUUGUGGUAGUGGGGGACUGCGUUCGCGCUUUCCCCUG